UGGGGAAUAUUGCACAAUGGGCGCAAGCCUGAUGCAGCCAUGCCGCGUGUAUGAAGAAGGCCUUCGGGUUGUAAAGUACUUUCAGCGAGGAGGAAGGCGUUGUGGUUAAUAACCGCAGCGAUUGACGUUACUCGCAGAAGAAGCACCGGCUAACUCCGUGCCAGCAGCCGCGGUAAUACGGAGGGUGCAAGCGUUAAUCGGAAUUACUGGGCGUAAAGCGCACGCAGGCGGUCUGUCAAGUCGGAUGUGAAAUCCCCGGGCUCAACCUGGGAACUGCAUCCGAAACUGGCAGGCUAGAGUCUUGUAGAGGGGGGUAGAAUUCCAGGUGUAGCGGUGAAAUGCGUAGAGAUCUGGAGGAAUACCGGUGGCGAAGGCGGCCCCCUGGACAAAAACUGACGCUCAGGUGCGAAAGCGUGGGGAGCAAACA
Molecule: ribosomal RNA, 427 nt
Filed under: uncultured bacterium
Lineage: Bacteria
Description: partial 16S ribosomal RNA
Rfam family: Bacterial small subunit ribosomal RNA
Source: RNAcentral